ACGGGUGAGUAAUGCCUAGGAAUCUGCCUGGUAGUGGGGGACAACGUUUCGAAAGGAACGCUAAUACCGCAUACGUCCUACGGGAGAAAGCAGGGACCUUCGGGCCUUGCGCUAUCAGAUGAGCCUAGGUCGGAUUAGCUAGUUGGUGAGGUAAUGGCUCACCAAGGCGACGAUCCGUAACUGGUCUGAGAGGAUGAUCAGUCACACUGGAACUGAGACACGGUCCAGACUCCUACGGGAGGCAGCAGA
This 249-nucleotide ribosomal RNA is filed under the name uncultured Pseudomonas sp. RNAcentral describes it as "partial 16S ribosomal RNA". It matches the Rfam family "Bacterial small subunit ribosomal RNA", at positions 102 to 354 of the family's 1533-position model. The record is from RNAcentral. Lineage: Bacteria; Pseudomonadati; Pseudomonadota; Gammaproteobacteria; Pseudomonadales; Pseudomonadaceae.